CAGCCGCCGCGGGAAUACGAAGGGGGCUAGCGUUGCUCGGAAUUACUGGGCGUAAAGGGAGCGUAGGCGGAUCGUUAAGUUGGGGGUGAAAGCCCGGGGCUCAACCUCGGAAUUGCCUUCAAUACUGGCGAUCUUGAGUAUGGAAGAGGUAUGUGGAACUCCGAGUGUAGAGGUGAAAUUCGUAGAUAUUCGGAAGAACACCAGUGGCGAAGGCGACAUACUGGUCCAUUACUGACGCUGAGGCUCGAAAGCGUGGGGAGCAAACAGGAUUAGAUACCCCGGUAGUCCCUGUCUCUUAUAC
Molecule: ribosomal RNA, 301 nt
Filed under: uncultured bacterium
Lineage: Bacteria
Description: partial 16S ribosomal RNA
Rfam family: Bacterial small subunit ribosomal RNA
Source: RNAcentral